RNAcentral lists this ribosomal RNA (427 nucleotides) under uncultured bacterium. RNAcentral describes it as "bacterial SSU rRNA". It matches the Rfam family "Bacterial small subunit ribosomal RNA", at positions 495 to 917 of the family's 1533-position model. The record is from RNAcentral.
AUCAGACACGGUGCCAGCAGCCGCGGUAAUACGUAGGGUCCGAGCGUUGUCCGGAAUUACUGGGCGUAAAGAGCUCGUAGGUGGUUUGUCGCGUUGUUCGUGAAAACUCACAACUCAAUUGUGGGCGUGCGGGCGAUACGGGCAGACUUGAGUACUGCAGGGGAGACUGGAAUUCCUGGUGUAGCGGUGGAAUGCGCAGAUAUCAGGAGGAACACCGGUGGCGAAGGCGGGUCUCUGGGCAGUAACUGACGCUGAGGAGCGAAAGCGUGGGGAGCGAACAGGAUUAGAUACCCUGGUAGUCCACGCCGUAAACGGUGGGUACUAGGUGUGGGUUUCCUUCCUUGGGAUCCGUGCCGUAGCUAACGCAUUAAGUACCCCGCCUGGGGAGUACGGCCGCAAGGCUAAAAACUCAAAAUGAAUUGGCGGG